Sander lucioperca (pikeperch) is the source of this 2375-nucleotide RNA transcript. It is a transcript of the gene named inhibitor of DNA binding 4, with no coding region annotated. The record is from RefSeq and is a predicted model, not a curated record. The transcript is spliced from 4 exons. Lineage: Eukaryota; Metazoa; Chordata; Actinopteri; Perciformes; Percidae.
CACACAGAAUGAGACACGCCUUUUUCUCGGCUCCGUUGUUGGGUCGGUGGGCAGCGGGCUGCUGGUGAUUGACCAGCCUCUCUCCCUGAUCUGUCAGCCGGCUGGCUUGGCGCCUCCCCUCUCCUCUAUAUAUGUAGGAAAUCUAUUCAUUCCUUUCACACCGAGCCUGCUGAAGUAAGAGGAACUGUGAGGCUCCGCGGGAUGUGUUGACAGACUAGAAUUCUGCAUUUCGGUUUAUAUUCCCUCGCUAAUUUUCGGCGAUAUUAGAGCAGCUGUUGCCGUGUUUACAGCGCCGUGGUAUAAUCUCAAAUACCUCCUGCUACCAGUAACGUCAUUAUUUGAUUUUCUUUUCCGUUGCCUCUGCCUCUGAGCCGCUGGUUAUCUAAGAUGAAGGCUGUUACUCCGGUCCACCCCCAGGACUCCUCCUCCAGCAGUAGCCAGCUCUCCGUGCACUAUCUGUCGAAGCAGAGCCUCAACAUCGCCCGGUGCAGGAUGGAAGAGGAGGACAUGUUCUGCCUGCAGUACGACAUGAACGACUGCUACAGCCGACUGAAGCGCCUGGUGCCCACCAUUCCACAGGAUAAGAAAGUCAGCAAAGUGGAGAUCCUCCAGCAUGUCAUAGACUACAUCCUGGACCUGCAGCUGGCCCUGGAGACGCACCCUUCUCUCCAUAAACAACAGCCACAGCGGACCGGGACCUGCCCUCCCCCAGCCUCCAACCCCAGUCGGACACCGCUGACGGUGCUCAACAUUGACCACCACCAGGAUUGGUGAAGUACCUCGGGCUGCAGCCCACUCCACUGCGCACAAUAAGAGGACGUCAAUAGUCAAAAAGCCGGAGGACUCUAUUUUAUGCCGCUGAGAUACAAGCACUGCAUUGGUGUGUAGGCUGCACAGAGCCGCUCCAAAGCCAGCAAAAGCUUCGCCAGGGACUCACACCCAACUGGAGGCACAAUCACAACGGGAUUUCAAAACCGCUGCGAGGAACUCAACCCAAAUAAAAUCACUAUUCAUAUCAGCUUUUCUUUUUGUUUUGUUCCAUUGAACGAGGAGUCAAUAUGUAGACAUCUCCCUCUCCUCCCCCCCCUGUUUAAGUUGCUCUAACUUUACUGCUUGUCACUUGAAUGUCACUUGUUUUCUAAUUAGAGUGAAAAUAUGGAAUCCCCACGCUGAGGAGUUUUUGUUGGAAAACCUGUCUGUCAACAGCUAUGAAAACUGCUUGUGAAUUGUGCUUAAAGAUUAACUAAAAUGACUCCAGUUUAAAGCUUUACUAAACUGCGAAAAAUCACUGUACAUUUUUUUGGACAUCUAUUGUUUAAAAUAGAUGAUUUGUGUUCAACAGGGAUCAUCCCUGGAAUUAUAAAAUGUUUGAUAUUGUAAAGAGGAACAAUUCCGAUUCGGGACAAUUAAGAAUGUACAUAUAUAGAGACACAAAUGUUCUAUAAAAAGUAUGUGAAUGGAAGACUUAUAUGCUUAAAAUAGACUAUUGUAAUUAUAAGAUAUUUUUAUCAAAACCUUUCUUUUGUCGUUAUGUAAAUAUUGUGUUUCAACUUUGAAGUCUUUAGUGAAUGAACGUGGUUAUGCUCUGCCAAUAAUGUCCUCACAUGAUAUCAGUUAACUCUUUGCAGUGUUUUUUGGAAUAGUUCCAAUAUGUAGCAUGUCAGGCUCAUUGCAGAGGUAUCAAAUGUGCACUGAAGCAGCCCUCCUGAUGUAGAUAUGUGGUGGAGUUCAACACAAGUUCUUUUAUUAUUUGCCCUGCUCUGCUUUCUCUUGGAUUAUUUUGUACUCAUUAACUAUGACAACGUUGACCUGCUAGGAGCAGUGGGUCACUCUGCUGUUUGAUCUUUCAAAAAACAAAGAAAAAAAGAAAAGAGGCCCAAUUUGAUUCUGUUACAUUGCACUCUUGUAAUACACAUUACAUCUUGAGAGUUAACAGCACUUCUGGCAGUGUUUACAAUACCUUAAAAAAAAUCACUACAAAACAAUGUAUCUGUUAUUUUUUGUGCAGUCAGAGCUUCUCCUUGCGAGGUUAAUGAUUGACACCGCAAAAUCAUUCAACUUUGGUUAUGAAUUGAUGAAACGUGAACAUUAACAGACUCCUUUUUGGACAACAACCAAUUGUAUUCAGACAGGCAAUGUCUUUAAUUAGAUAUUAAACGAUUUCCCUGUUGGAGAUUCAGCAGCCUUUGUUAAGAGAAAAAUGUAAAGAUGAAAGAAGAAGCCUUUAUUUUUCAUGACAUUGAACACCGAAUUUACCUCACCACCCUCCUGCCAGUGUGAGAGGGCACUUGUACAUUACUGUCAGCUGCACUGUUGGACUUGGCCUUCACUGGCUUGUGAGGAGUUGUCAAAACAAUUAAAGUUUCCAGGAAGAA